RNAcentral lists this ribosomal RNA (366 nucleotides) under Triticum aestivum (bread wheat). Its description in RNAcentral is "partial small subunit ribosomal RNA". Lineage: Eukaryota; Viridiplantae; Streptophyta; Magnoliopsida; Poales; Poaceae. The record is from RNAcentral.
AUGAGGUUGAUAGGAUUGCAAUGUUGGGGGCAUUUUGAAACUCCCAAGAUGAAUGUGAUAUCUCAGCAGAAGCCUACUGUGUGGGCACAGUGGGUAGAAAGCCCUCUGGUUGCUCUCCCUGGUUCUGUUGUUUGGGUCCCACUGUCAGCCACCAGGGCGCCAUCCGGCGAUAGUUUGGUGAGUAAAGAUUGGCUAAAGGCACCUUCAGUGUUUUUGCCAGUGUCAAUCACCUCGCCAUCAACUGGAAAGGCGCCUUGGCAAGUGAAGAGAUCAUCUGGGAGAAAAUUUCCAUUCUCGCCAGGUGAGACCACCAACAGAUGGGGUAAUUCUGUCGAGUAUUCCCUCAAAAAGGGGCAAAAUGUCUGA